ACGCUCGACACCUACGGAGGCAGCAGUGGGGAAUAUUGCACAAUGGGGGAAACCCUGAUGCAGCGACGCCGCGUGAGCGAAGAAGUAUUUCGGUAUGUAAAGCUCUAUCAGCAGGGAAGAAAAUGACGGUACCUGACUAAGAAGCCCCGGCUAACUACGUGUCAGCAGCCGCGGUAAUCUGAGCGGGCUGGCAAGGC
RNAcentral lists this ribosomal RNA (197 nucleotides) under uncultured bacterium. Its description in RNAcentral is "partial 16S ribosomal RNA". It matches the Rfam family "Bacterial small subunit ribosomal RNA", at positions 328 to 539 of the family's 1533-position model. The record is from RNAcentral.